UCAUAGAGGGUGAGAAUCCCGUGUGGCGAGGAUCCCAGUUAUUUGUAAAGUGCUUUCGACGAGUCGAGUUGUUUGGGAAUGCAGCUCUAAGUGGGUGGUAAAUUCCAUCUAAAGCUAAAUAUUGGCGAGAGACCGAUAGCGAACAAGUACAGUGAUGGAAAGAUGAAAAGAACUUUGAAAAGAGAGUGAAAAAGUACGUGAAAUUGUUGAAAGGGAAGGGCAUUUGAUCAGACAUGGCGUUUGCUUCGGCUUUCGCUGGGCCAGCAUCAGUUUUAGCGGUUGGAUAAAUCCUCGGGAAUGUGGCUCUGCUUCGGUAGAGUGUUAUAGCCCGUGGGAAUACAGCCAGCUGGGACUGAGGAUUGCGACUUUGUCAAGGAUGCGCGUAA
RNAcentral lists this ribosomal RNA (386 nucleotides) under Kluyveromyces marxianus. RNAcentral's name for it is "partial large subunit ribosomal RNA". It matches the Rfam family "Eukaryotic large subunit ribosomal RNA", at positions 202 to 632 of the family's 3401-position model. Lineage: Eukaryota; Fungi; Ascomycota; Saccharomycetes; Saccharomycetales; Saccharomycetaceae. The record is from RNAcentral.